Molecule: long non-coding RNA, 306 nt
Organism: Quercus lobata
Lineage: Eukaryota; Viridiplantae; Streptophyta; Magnoliopsida; Fagales; Fagaceae
Exons: 3
Source: RefSeq, a predicted model, not a curated record
AGAUAUGUAAAUUAAAACUCCUACACUUUAAAACCACAAACUCACGUACGCUUUGCAAUUUCUAUCUCACUUUCUCUCUCUCAUUUUUCUUCAGCCUCUUUUCUUUUUCUUCAGAUUAAAGGCAUUUAUUGUCAGAGGCUUCAACAAAUUUUCAGGUAUUGUGAUCCAAGCAUUCAAAAUCAUUUAUAAACAGUUAAACAGUUCACGUACACACAAACUUUUUGGAUUGCAUUGACGAGUCAUUGGAAUGGAAUAUUAGAUAAGUUCGGGUGAGAGACUUUACAAGAAUUAUUAUAUGUAUUAAAC